GAUGAACGCUGGCGGCGUGCCUAAUACAUGCAAGUCGAGCGAACGGACGAGAAGCUUGCUUCGCUGAUGUUAGCGGCGGACGGGUGAGUAACACGUGGAUAACCUACCUAUAAGACUGGGAUAACUUCGGGAAACCGGAGCUAAUACCGGAUGAUAUUUUGAACCGCAUGGUUCAAUAGUGAAAGACGGCCUUGCGGUCUCUUAUAGAUGCAUCCGCGCUGCAUUAGCUAGUUGGUAAGGUAACGGCUUACCAAGGCAACGAUGCAUAGCCGAGCUGAGAGGCUGAUCGGCCACACUGGAACUGAGACACGGUCCAGACUCCUACGGGAGGCAGCAGUAGGGAAUCUUCCGCAAAGGGCGAAAGCCUGACGGAGCAACGCCGCGUGAGUGAUGAAGGUCUUCGGAUCGUAAAACUCUGUUAUUAGGGAAGAACAUAUGUGUAAGUAACUGUGCACAUCUUGACGGUACCUAAUCAGAAAGCCACGGCUAACUACGUG
Molecule: ribosomal RNA, 497 nt
Filed under: uncultured bacterium
Lineage: Bacteria
Description: partial 16S ribosomal RNA
Rfam family: Bacterial small subunit ribosomal RNA
Source: RNAcentral